This is a non-coding RNA of Chlorocebus sabaeus (green monkey), 7641 nucleotides long. The record is from RefSeq and is a predicted model, not a curated record. Lineage: Eukaryota; Metazoa; Chordata; Mammalia; Primates; Cercopithecidae.
CUGACCUCAAGUGAUCCGCCCACCUCGGUCUCCCAAAGUGCUGGGAUUACAGGUGAGAGCCACCGCGCCUGGCCUGAGACCAGCAUUUCUAUCUUUGCUUUACAGAGCAGGCAGGUAGAGCUCAGGGAGGUUCUGGGAGGCUCCACUGUGGCUCUGACUCCGGCUGUGAGAUUCCGCACUGGCCGGGGCCUCUCCCAGGAACCACACUGCACAGGUCAUUGCUGGUUCAGUCCUUCUCAUGUCAAUGCAUUGCCAUUUCCUCGUUCUCAGUGUGUGAACUCCCGUUUGCUCUUACGUCCACUUUGCAUUGCAGAGAAGUGUUAUCAUGAACCAUUUCCCUAACUGUGGACACUGUAUUGUUUUUAUUUUUAAUACCAUAAAUAGCAACAUAGUGAACAUCCUGGUGAAUACGGUUUUAUUCUUGUUUUAGAUUAUUUAAUUAGGAAAAGUUCCCUCAAAGUUCCUUGAUGGCUAUUGCUUCCUUUAUCAUUUUAUUCCACGUUGACUUUUACCAUAGCGUACGGCAGUAUGUGUAGCAUGCUCUCUCACUCACUAGUAACAACCUGGAUUAUUCAUCUUUUAAACUUUGAUCGCCAAAGGGAAACAAAGCCUCUCCUGUCUCCCUCAUCACUUGGAUCCGUGGUGUAGCGGGACAGUGCUCAAAGCUCCGUGCGCCAUCUUUAUUUCCUCCUCUGGGAGUUAUUUGUUCCAAGCAGGAGGCUCAGUAGUGAGUGGGGGCUGAAUGGAGACCUGCAUUCCAGGCCUGGUGUCCUAGGUGACGAGGCCUCCAGCCAGAGCAUCUCUCCUUCCUCACAGCCCAGAUGUCCUUGAACCCAAGGUCACGUCCCUGAAUCUUCUGCCCAUCCUCACCACUGGCCCCUGCGGGUGGUGCAGUGCCCACCUCCUUCUGUGCUCCUGCCCUGAAGCCUGUGUCCCUCCACACAGACGAGGCUGGAGCAUCUUCAGUGAGUCUAUCGCAGGCAACGCGACCGUUUCCUGAUGCCUAUGGUGUGGUCAAAUCCCUCCUUCCACCCCGGGCCUCUGAACUGGAAGGCUGUGGUCAUGCUGGUUCUUGCAGCCCUGAUCUCCCCUUGGGCUCCUGGUGCACCGUCGUGCCUGUCCAAGCCACUCAGCUUCAGGAGGAAGAGGUGUUUGCCCUGCUGGUUCCCUGCAAGAUAUGUAAGUGUGCGUCAGGUGGCAGCUUCCACAUGCAGGCAAGUGCGACCUCACCCACAGUGCAUCCAUGGCACGUGAGCAAAUGUUUCCUUUCAGGCACAGGAGGGCGAUGCCAUAGUCUUUUGAUCUGUCCAGAAAAAAUGCACACUGGAAAAAUGCAAGGUAUUAUGGUUACUUGUAUAAAGCUUCUUACCUGUGCAGAUGGGCCUCAAUAACCAUAAGGAGCAUCAAAUCUAAGGAAGAAACGUUCUCAAUUAAUUCUGAGUUGGAAGUGAAGAGAGAGGAUUUGAUAUCAGAAAGGAUGCCAUAAAAACUGUCAUGUGUAUAUCAUUUAAAAACGGAUGCUGACUCUGGGCUUGAGCCACCAGCCCAGGGAAUGUAGCACCAUUUUCCUGUCACCCACAGCGGAAAUCAGAGAAUGUGAGCAGCCAUUGGGUGCACGCCUGGCAGUGCUGGCUCUGGGGGGCUGCGGGAGAGGAGCCCAGGCUGGAGCUCAGGGUUCCUGGUCCUGGUGCACGCCUGGCAGUGCCGGCUCAGCGGGGCUGCGGGAGAGGAGCCCAGGCUAGAGCUCAGGGUUCCUGGUCCUGGUGCACGCCUGGCAGUGCCGGCUCAGCAGGGCUGCGGGAGAGGAGCCCAGACCUGGACCUCAGGGUUCCUGGUCCUGGCUGCCCCCUGAAAGUGUCCUUGAUCAUGCUGAGGUCCUUGGUAUCACAGGGCAUGCCCUCAGGCUCAUCGGCUCAGGUUCAGGACGUCACUUCCAAGAGCUAGUAUCAUAUCCACAGAACUGGAGCUAGAGCGGAAGCUAUCCCUCUGUAACAGUUUCCCUCUUUGUAAAAUGGGAGUAAAGCCCCUUAAAGCCUUCAUUCUUACCCUGGAAAAUGAUAGAGUUGUACGACUGUAGAAUUCUAGGUCAUUAGCCCCAUGCUAUUGAGGACCUCCUCCUCCUUCCUGCUUUUUACAGAGGAUGCCCCGUCCCCGUCAUCUUCCUCCAGUGCACAGUGUGGAUUAUUUCAUGGGCUCGUCUUUGCCACAUCCAGGCUCUGGUGGCUACUUCAGCCUGUGAUUCUGUCGCUGUUGGGUGUGACCUGCAUAAGCAAAUUGGUCACGGUGGUGUGGCCAUCCAGGCACCUCACUAUCCCAGGCCUCUCCCGAAACCCAUCACCACCCUCGCUGGACCCAAACCCACUCCUCCUUGUGCAUUGUCAAAGACUGCAAUUCUCAAACCAGAACGUCCACACAUCCUGGGUUCCCUUCCUGACCAUGGUGGGCUAUUUAGCAGCAAGUCCUGUUACUCUGUCUCCUUCACUUACCCUCCUGCAGCCUCAGCUGCUUAGGACACCCUUGUCUCCGGCCUGGAGCACCACCAUAGCCUCCUAGGAGGACUCUUCUGGUUUCACUCCCUCAAAUCCAUCACAGAGAGAUCUUCCUGGGGGAGAUGCUUUAAUUUUUUUGUUUUCAUAUUUGUUAUAUUUUUAUUAAUAAAUGAUAGCUAUAUAUAUGUAUGGGGCACAAUGUGUUUCAGCAUAUGUAUAUAUACACAUUGUGGAAUGAACAAAUCAAGCUGAUUAACGUACCUGUCACCUCAAAUGUUUGCCAUUUCUUUAUGGAAGAACAUAUUUAAAUCCUCUCUUAGGGUAUUCCGGUCAAAGGGAACAGUUUCAGAUAGGUAGCAGGAAUCAGCUCUGGUGACCUGUUGCACAAUAUGGUGACUCUAAUAAAUAAUAACAUAUAUUCCUAGUGAAAAUCUUGACCAAGUCACUUCUCUAUUUAGAAUAUUCAGAGGCACUCCGCAGCCCACAGGGUAAGACCCAAACUCCAACUUGAUGCGUGAGCCCUUGAUGCCAGGUACCUGAGCACCUUUGCUGCCUGUGUCUACUAAGCCUCUGCCCCUGCACCCAGCCACCUUCACACACACUCCUGCUGUGCAGCAGCUGCCUCUGGAAUUGGUGAGUGUGGUCAUCUGGACUCAGGUGCCAAUGUUCCCUCCGUUUCACCGACUCACCCAAGCAUCAUGACUUUCAGGGAGCCAUCCAGACUCCUCCUGGCUCUGGGUGGGGCGUACAUCCCUGGUGCUCCUGUGUGCCUCCUCAGUGCUCCUGUGCAUAUCUUCAGUGCUCCUGUGGGCAUCACUGGUGCUCCUGUGUGUAUCUUUAGUGCUCCUGUUCACAUCCCCAGUGCUCUUGUUCGCAUUCUCGGUGCUCCUGUUUGUAUCCCUGGUGCUCCUGUGCACAUCCCUGGUGCUCCUGUGCACAUCCCUAGUGCUCCUGUGCACAUGCCCGGUGCUCCUGUGUGCAUGUCUGGUGCUCCUGUGUGCAUCCCUGGUGCUCUUGUGGGCAUUAUUGGUGCUGCUGUGCACAUCCCUGGUGCUCCUCUGCACAUCUUCAGUGCUCCUGUGUGCGUGUCCGGUGUUCCUAUGUGCAUCCCCAGUACUUCUGUGUGCAUCCCCGUGCUGCUGUGUGCAUCCCCGUGCUGCUGUGUGCAUCCCCGUGCUGCUGUGUGCAUCCUCGGUGCUCCUGUGCACAUCCUGGUGUUCCUGUGUGAGUCAUACACAUUUCCACGGCCACCCCUCUCAGUUGUAUUUUUACUCUCUGCUUCCAUGGUGACUCCUCUAGAUGGAGGAGCCCUCCAGUGUGGAUCCUUGUGUGUGCAGGCUCAGGGAAGUCCAAGCUCAAGGCACCCUUGCUGAAUGAAAUCACAACUUGCUCUCACCUUCCUCAGACCAAAAUCUACCUGAGUCCGAGUUCUCCAGAGAAACAGAUCGAGAAAGAGAGAGAGAGAGAGAGAGAGAGAGAGAGAGAUUUCAGGGAGUUAUUUCACUCCCUCGUGGGGCUGGGAGAUCUGAAGUCUGAAGACCAGCAGGCUGGAAACUCAGCUCUGCCCCCGUCUUUGCCACUGAAUCUGCAGUGUCUAUUGCUGGCCAUGCUCUCCCCACUCCAGAUGCCUUUCGGCCUGCAUUGAGGAGAGAGGCACUGGCCCUGACUGGGGGCUUCCACGUGUGCAGGGGGCCGCCCGCGGUGAGGUCUCUGCAGCAUGACGGGGCUGGAAGCGGGCAGCUUUGUUGUGGUUAUCUAUACAUCUUGUGUUUGGCAGCAGCCAGGCCUUUUCCUGAGCAGUCAAGGUAAGACUGUGUGGCCGUGCCCUGACCACCACCGUUCCUGGAGCUGAGCUUCAGGAGAGAGCUGGGGUCUCUGUGAAUAUUACGUAGACAUUUAUUUAAUCUCAUUUCCAACCUCGCACCCCGCCGACCUCUACUGGGCAUGUGUUCCUGAAAGCAAGCUUUGUUAAGUGUGCUCCCAGCCCACAGACAAAAGGGACUCCCCGUGGCCACCUGAGGCACUCAGAGUUAAACAGAAGCGGUCGGUCAUGGCAGGGUAAGGAAGCGGUCACCCACUCCGUGUCCUCGGGAAGAUGCUGUGGAAGUGUGACCUCCCUCUCUACCAUCAGGCCUGACCAGCUCCUGUCGUUGGUGCUGAGCUAGACCUUGGCUUAAAAUUCCCUAUUGACCACCCACAGGUCACCUGAGGCUGAUGCAGAGAGACUGGCAAUGUCUUGCUUAAAGGCCUUUCAGUCUGGAUCCUGCAACGAACGCCCCCCAAACUCUUACUCCAAACGAUUUGCCUUCAUCAUCUCCCAAUCCUCCACCCCUCCACCUGUGUCUUACACCAAAGGCUGCGUGUCCACAAUCACAGGUUUUUCUAAAAGCAAAAUGUAUUUGCUUUUAGAAAAUAAGGUUCUCCUAUUGCCUCCACAGAUAUCACUGGUCUUUUGUUAACAGCUUCCAUGUCAUUCUGGAUGUCUUACGUCCUCAGCAGUAGCCAGGGCAAGGGAGCCCACGGCCUCCCCACCUCCCACGGCUGCUGGUGCCCAAGUUUGGGAGCCUCUCCAGGUUCUUCAGGGAGUAGAGCUUGAUUUCCAACAGCCCCCGUUUCCCCAGGUGCUUGGACUUCAGCCUUCAGCUCCACGCACCAUCUUUCAGAACUACGUUGGCAACUUUACCUGAUUUUUUUGGUUUGUUUUUGUGUAUUUACAACAUUUUAUUCCAUUAGUUUUCAUUUUAGAGAGGAUUAGGAGAGAGAAGGAAUGAAACUGUGUGAGGCCCACCAUGUUUAACCAGAAGUCCCUGUUAUCUGCUUAAUGACACCUUUCUAGAAGAGGAAUUGCUGGGUCAAAAGCCAUGUGUAUUUCACACGGCGAGUCACGUUAAACUGUUCACCGGAAAAGUGCACUGACUUUUUACCGGGAAGUAAGCGGGAAGAUUGCUUUUGUUUUAUAAAUGCUAUUUUUCUUUUGUAUGAUAAAAGAGACUUAUUUUUGAGGCAAAACAUGAUGACACCGGCAUGUUUUAAUUGGUAUACUUCAUCAUAGAGCAUCAGAAAAAUAAAAUCAGUGUGAUGAGGCAGCAGCCGCAGAAGGCGGCCACUCACUGCAGCCAUUGCCGGCCUGUGCUUUGUGAGCUGGACGGUCCUCUUGCCUCGUUCCAGCCUCAGUCUGCCUAAAAGUGGAUAUUCCAGGCGGGAAAUGUGUCUAGCCUGAUGGUGAAGACUGUCUGGAGGAUGGUUGGUUUUGAGGAGGGCAAUGAUUUUGCAGGAAGGUUUCACAAAAGCAGAAACAUGGUCAGAAUUUGUCCAAGGUGGAUUUCUGCUGUUGCUAAAUUUUCCUGGUGUGCUGGGCAGGACAAUGGUGGGACAGUGAACUUGGAAUAAGAAGAGACACUCAGACUUCCCAAAGUAGAUGAGAGAAACUUUGCUUUUUGCAAGGGAGGGGAAUGGAAGACCCUGUUGCAAUUGUCUUGCUUCACUUUUGCUCAGUGAAGCCAAGUUUGCUCAGGGCCAGCUGUGCUUGUGCAGAUGUGUGUGCUGGGGUGGGGGUCGCCAUUAUUAAUGGCAUAAGGCUGGUGGGGUACAGGCAGGAGCAAGUUAGAAAUGGAAACUCCGUGUCUUCCUUCUGGCAGCCGAUGGCACUGGCUUGCCAAGAAGGUGUGGGUGUCUGGAAAGCAUCCAUGAGGACCAGUAGUCAGGGAGCCAGCAGGAGCAACGGUGAAGAAAGACUGUUGCUUAGGGUCCCCUGGGAUAGACUGCGUUGGGAACUAACUAGGUGGUCCCCGUUGCCAUGGAGACAACCUUCCCUGAAAGCGGUGGGGAAUGGCGAACAGUCCACAAGGGAGAUGCUGACUCAGGCUUCAGAUGGAAUUUCCUGGGAUCCCUCACUUACAUUUUCCGCUCUUUUCUGAGUUCCACUGUUUUCCCUAUUUCUCCUUUGUUUUCUGUUGCAUAUUCUCUCCUUCCGGGGAGAAAGCGUGGGAAGCAGUGAAGAGGUCCUGCUCUGGGGAUGAGAAGCCAGGUUGAAGGAAGACUCGAGCACAGUGGACCUGGCAGGUGGGGUCUCCAGAGAGCCUGUGGCUGUGCAGAGCAGCCACCUCAGGGAUGUGUGCAGAACUGAGUCUGAACACAUGGUCUUUCUGGUGCAUCUGGCUAGAUUGGGACUGUAUUGGUCUAUCUCCCUCAGCAGCCCUGGUCCAAGGAGCACGAUCAGAGGGAUAUAAGCCAGUCACUCCAAGUUGUCAUCUUUCUCUUCACCGUGCCUGGGAGAGGAAGGUAACUGUUUUGGUUUGUUAGAAAAGAAAUACAAACCCAGCAGCCGAGAGAUUUCCCCAAUGGAUAGGCCUGUGUUUGGGAAGGAAAGUUAAAGCCAGUGGAUUUCUAGUUCACUUGUUUUCUCUAAUGAUACAUCAGAAGGGCUGCAGGGUCCAGUUAAUCUGUCCAGUGGCAUUUUUGAGAUGAGGUAGCAGGUGCUCCAGAACCAGAAAGACAGACUGUGGGUGGCCCCUCCGGAGGCUCACUGAGGGUUCUAUGCUACAGAUCUGUGUCCAGCAGGCAAAAGAGCUGGGGUCAGAGCCAGUGAAACACAGGACCAUUCCCUAUUCGGUCUGGCAGCUAUUUGCUGAGACCUAUAACAGAAAAGGUCUUUUACAGAGGUGUAUGAGGUGGGUCCCUUGGCAACUGCUGUAAUGCCUCCAUACUCCCAUCUGGGUCAGAGACUGAAAAGAACUCAAAGAUCACCGAGAGCAGCAUCCUGGGCUGCCAUCCUAGCAAUUCAUCUACAAAGGUUUGCGGAGUGCCCACUCUGUGACAGACACAUCUCUGCAGGAGGAUCGCGGGCGUGGACAUGGGGUGGGAGGGUCCCAGGAUGAGAAGAGUGUACGGCUGUUAGGAGGCUUCAUGGAGAAGCCCACACCUGAGCUGAGUUGGGAAGAAGGAGUCAGACUUGGCCACAGGGAGCGGGGAAGUAUCUGUGUCCUGGAAUGAUUUUGUAGAAGGAGAAGGAACCCAUGUGUUGACUUGGAGCCGUCCUGGAGGGUUACCCUUGGAGGGACCUCAGAAAAGUCUGGUCCCAUGGCGCUCAAACAUGAAUUAUGAACCAUGAAGUCCAACAUAAAAAAUUUAGAAGAUAGCCAGGUGCAGUGGC